AUUACCACAUAAACGUCAACUGUUGAAUGCUCUACUCUAGAAAAAGUUAACAGAAACUUGUUGCUAGAAUUUCAGCAAAUGGAAAUAAUGUUGUUGUUCUAAUGCAGGCUGGUACACUUGAUAGUGCACAUUGGGUUGGUGGUCAUCAUGAUUGAUUAUCAAUACAUUGGGCCACCAAAAUGUUGGUCCAUCAGCUCUAUCAAUAUCAACAGAAAAAUUAUUAUCAUUUUAAUGAUACUGUGAUAUUCAUAUGACAACGAAGUCAAGUAUAUUAAUGUGAUGGAUUUAGUGACGAAUAUAAUAUAUCUGGAAAAUCAGAUAAAUAUAUCACGACUAAAUUUAAAUAAUUUAGUUGAUAUAUUACAUCAAUGUCAAUGCAGAAAUAUUAAGAAAAGUUUUCGUGAGUUAGUAACAUGACCAAAUUCCACAAUAUGUAUUGGAUAAAUUGAUAAGGUUGCGUCAUCACAAUCUGUCAAUAAUUACUUGUCUGCUACUUGAACAGUUUUUGAUGGAAAAUUUGCAAAAAAAAAUAAUGAUGAAGAUGUAACAAUUGGUUCAGCAAAUAAACAAAAUCGAGCACCAUCAACUUCAUCUUCAUUACCAUUUCAAUAACAAAGUGGUAAUUCAUUUGUUGAACCAGGAACAAAUAUAUCUGAUAAUCUGCAUUAGAACUUUGUUAUCAAAAAUAAAAUAAUGAAAAUA
This is a long non-coding RNA of Aphidius gifuensis, 702 nucleotides long. RefSeq lists it as uncharacterized. The transcript has 3 exons. The record is from RefSeq and is a predicted model, not a curated record. NCBI's taxonomy places the organism in Eukaryota, Metazoa, Arthropoda, Insecta, Hymenoptera, Braconidae.